Molecule: ribosomal RNA, 536 nt
Filed under: uncultured bacterium
Lineage: Bacteria
Description: partial 16S ribosomal RNA
Rfam family: Bacterial small subunit ribosomal RNA
Source: RNAcentral
UGGGGAAUUUUGGACAAUGGGCGAAAGCCUGAUCCAGCAAUGCCGCGUGUGUGAAGAAGGCCUUCGGGUUGUAAAGCACUUUUGUCCGGAAAGAAAUCCUUGGCUCUAAUACAGUCGGGGGAUGACGGUACCGGAAGAAUAAGCACCGGCUAACUACGUGCCAGCAGCCGCGGUAAUACGUAGGGUGCAAGCGUUAAUCGGAAUUACUGGGCGUAAAGCGUGCGCAGGCGGUUUGCUAAGACCGAUGUGAAAUCCCCGGGCUCAACCUGGGAACUGCAUUGGUGACUGGCAGGCUAGAGUAUGGCAGAGGGGGGUAGAAUUCCACGUGUAGCAGUGAAAUGCGUAGAGAUGUGGAGGAAUACCGAUGGCGAAGGCAGCCCCCUGGGCCAAUACUGACGCUCAUGCACGAAAGCGUGGGGAGCAAACAGGAUUAGAUACCCUGGUAGUCCACGCCCUAAAACGAUGUCAACUAGUUGUUGGGGAUUCAUUUCCUUAGUAACGUAGCUAACGCGUGAAGUUGACCGCCUGGGGAGUAC